This 429-nucleotide ribosomal RNA is filed under the name bacterium. RNAcentral's name for it is "partial 16S ribosomal RNA". It matches the Rfam family "Bacterial small subunit ribosomal RNA", at positions 355 to 776 of the family's 1533-position model. The record is from RNAcentral.
UAGGGAAUCUUCCACAAUGGACGCAAGUCUGAUGGAGCAACGCCGCGUGAGUGAAGAAGGUUUUCGGAUCGUAAAGCUCUGUUGUUGGUGAAGAAGGAUAGAGGCAGUAACUGGUCUUUAUUUGACGGUAAUCAACCAGAAAGUCACAGCUAACUACGUGCCAGCAGCCGCGGUAAUACGUAGGUGGCAAGCGUUGUCCGGAUUUAUUGGGCGUAAAGCGAGCGCAGGCGGAAUGAUAAGUCUGAUGUGAAAGCCCACGGCUCAACCGUGGAACUGCAUCGGAAACUGUCAUUCUUGAGUGCUGAAGAGGAGAGUGGAAUUCCAUGUGUAGCGGUGGAAUGCGUAGAUAUAUGGAAGAACACCAGUGGCGAAGGCGGCUCUCUGGUCUGCAACUGACGCUGAGGCUCGAAAGCAUGGGUAGCGAACAGG